RNAcentral lists this ribosomal RNA (836 nucleotides) under Haptophyta environmental samples. Its description in RNAcentral is "bacterial SSU rRNA". It matches the Rfam family "Bacterial small subunit ribosomal RNA", at positions 481 to 1325 of the family's 1533-position model. The record is from RNAcentral. Lineage: Eukaryota; Haptophyta.
GAGGAAUAAGCAUCGGCUAACUCCGUGCCAGCAGCCGCGGUAAUACGGGGGAUGCAAGCGUUAUCCGGAAUCAUUGGGCGUAAAGCGCCUGUAGGUUGUUUAAUAAGUCUGUUGUUAAAGACUAGAGCUUAACCCUAGAAAAGCAAUGGAAACUACUAGACUAGAGUAUGGCAGGGGUAGAGGGAAUUUCUAGUGUAGCGGUGAAAUGCGUAGAUAUUAGAAAGAACACCGGUGGCGAAAGCGCUCUACUGGACCAUUACUGACACUCAGAGGCGAAAGCUAGGGUAGCAAAAGGGAUUAGAUACCCCUGUAGUCCUAGCCGUAAACGAUGGAUACUAGAUGUUGUGCAUAAAGUACAGUAUCGUAGCUAACGCCUUAAGUAUCCCGCCUGGGGAGUACGCUCGCAAGGGUGAAACUCAAAGGAAUUGACGGGGGCCCGCACAAGCGGUGGAGCAUGUGGUUUAAUUCGAUGCAACGCGAAGAACCUUACCAGGGCUUGACAUACUACAGAUUCUUUUGAGAAAAAGAAGUGCCUUCGGGAAUGUAGAUACAGGUGGUGCAUGGCUGUCGUCAGCUCGUGUCGUGAGAUGUUGGGUUAAGUCCCGCAACGAGCGCAACCCUUAUUUUUAGUUACUAAUUCGUUAGGUUCUCUAGAAAGACUGCCGGUGACAAACCGGAGGAAGGUGAGGAUGACGUCAAGUCAGCAUGCCCCUUAUGUCCUGGGCUACACACGUGCUACAAUGGUUAAGACAAAGAGUUGCGAGCUCGCGAGAGUCAGCUAAUCUCAUAAACUUAGCCUAAGUUCAGAUUGUAGGCUGCAACUCGCCUACAUGAAG